This 950-nucleotide ribosomal RNA is filed under the name Microbacterium arborescens. RNAcentral describes it as "bacterial SSU rRNA". It matches the Rfam family "Bacterial small subunit ribosomal RNA", at positions 35 to 996 of the family's 1533-position model. The record is from RNAcentral. Lineage: Bacteria; Bacillati; Actinomycetota; Actinomycetes; Micrococcales; Microbacteriaceae.
GAUUGGGGGGUGCUUACACAUGCAAGUCGAACGGUGAAGCAGAGCUUGCUCUGUGGAUCAGUGGCGAACGGGUGAGUAACACGUGAGCAAUCUGCCCCUGACUCUGGGAUAAGCGCUGGAAACGGCGUCUAAUACCGGAUACGAGCUGCGACCGCAUGGUCAGUAGCUGGAAAGAAUUUCGGUCAGGGAUGAGCUCGCGGCCUAUCAGCUUGUUGGUGAGGUAAUGGCUCACCAAGGCGUCGACGGGUAGCCGGCCUGAGAGGGUGACCGGCCACACUGGGACUGAGACACGGCCCAGACUCCUACGGGAGGCAGCAGUGGGGAAUAUUGCACAAUGGGCGCAAGCCUGAUGCAGCAACGCCGCGUGAGGGAUGACGGCCUUCGGGUUGUAAACCUCUUUUAGCAGGGAAGAAGCGAAAGUGACGGUACCUGCAGAAAAAGCGCCGGCUAACUACGUGCCAGCAGCCGCGGUAAUACGUAGGGCGCAAGCGUUAUCCGGAAUUAUUGGGCGUAAAGAGCUCGUAGGCGGUCUGUCGCGUCUGCUGUGAAAACCCGAGGCUCAACCUCGGGCCUGCAGUGGGUACGGGCAGACUAGAGUGCGGUAGGGGAGAUUGGAAUUCCUGGUGUAGCGGUGGAAUGCGCAGAUAUCAGGAGGAACACCGAUGGCGAAGGCAGAUCUCUGGGCCGUAACUGACGCUGAGGAGCGAAAGGGUGGGGAGCAAACAGGCUUAGAUACCCUGGUAGUCCACCCCGUAAACGUUGGGAACUAGUUGUGGGGUCCAUUCCACGGAUUCCGUGACGCAGCUAACGCAUUAAGUUCCCCGCCUGGGGGAGUACGGCCGCAAGGCUAAAACUCAAAGGAAUUGACGGGGACCCGCACAAGCGGCGGAGCAUGCGGAUUAAUUCGAUGCAACGCGAAGAACCUUACCAAGGCUUGACAUAUAGAGGAA